Non-coding RNA from Odocoileus virginianus texanus, 548 nucleotides. The record is from RefSeq and is a predicted model, not a curated record. NCBI's taxonomy places the organism in Eukaryota, Metazoa, Chordata, Mammalia, Artiodactyla, Cervidae.
GUUCCAAAUGACUUCCUAAUCAGUAAUAUGAUGGGGAAUAUAAAGCCGCAUCAUGCUGACCCUCUCCUUCUCACAUGCCUACUGAAUCAGGAACAUCUCCUGAAGCAAUUUACAUGCAUCUGAUAACACCAUAUCAACAACUCUUCAAAUUAUUGUGGAACCCAGCCACCGACUUCAACAAAAGUUCUUGUAGGAAACUGACGUGUUUAAAGAGCCCCUGUAUUUUUCUGCCUCUUGCUAGUACAUUGUCCCUUCUCCACCUGCAUUGUGGAUCUGACUUGCUGGACUCCAAGGCCAUUUCUCUAUCUCUGGACCACACAUGUGUUGCCUUGAGAUGUGGCUUUAAAUUCCAUGUCUACAACAGCAAAUGACACAGAGAAGAGAAAUUGAAAAUCUGCCACCCAGAAGCUGCCCCUUCCAGCCAAGAGGAAGGAUUUUAUUUGCAAAGGAGAUGCAGCUGCCUAACAAAUUGUGUGUGACAAGAAAGUUGUUGUGUCAGGGCAUUUCUACAGAAAGCCAAAAUAUAUUGACAUGCCCCAUCUAUAUAA